Molecule: long non-coding RNA, 210 nt
Filed under: Elaeis guineensis (African oil palm)
Lineage: Eukaryota; Viridiplantae; Streptophyta; Magnoliopsida; Arecales; Arecaceae
Description: long non-coding RNA (EGUI_LNC032955)
Source: RNAcentral
ACCAUAACAUGAAGAUCGAUCUUUUGGCUUUCAGUAGAAUAUUGAAGACUUUCUUGACUGAUUUGCUGAAUUAUAUAGAAGUUUCUAAGUUCAAGAAAGGUAAACUUGUAGCCUACAGGUUGAAGGGUGGUGUCCUAGUUUAGUAGGAAAAGUUGCAACUAGGGCAAACUCGAUACUGUAGAAAUCAUGCAGAGACAUAACAAUGGAUGA